Long non-coding RNA from Lactuca sativa (garden lettuce), 1283 nucleotides. RefSeq lists it as uncharacterized. NCBI's taxonomy places the organism in Eukaryota, Viridiplantae, Streptophyta, Magnoliopsida, Asterales, Asteraceae. The record is from RefSeq and is a predicted model, not a curated record.
UUAAAAUUAGCUUAUUUAGCCUAAUAAGCUAUAUUUUAUCCAAACACUUAAAUUAGCUUAUAUUAAAAUUAGCUUAUUUAGCCUAAUAAGCUAGAUUUUAUCCAAACACUUAAAUUAGCUUAUUGUGGGAAUAUCUGCAAUCGACAUCACCAUCACCGCUUUAGCAUCACCACCGGUCGACCUUGCUGUCACCGCUAAACCUUUUCUUCUUCAAUCUUUUCGUCUUCAAUUUCAUCUACAAUCGACAUCACCAUCACCGCUUUAGCAUCACCACCGCUCCCACCUUUUCUUCUUCAACCUUUUUGUCUUCAAUUUCAUCUGCAAUCGACAUCACCAUCACCGCUUUAGCAUCACCACCGGUCGACCUUGCUGUCACCGCUAAACCUUUUCUUCUUCAAUCUUUUCGUCUUCAAUUUCAUCUACAAUCGACAUCACCAUCACCGCUUUAGCAUCACCACCGGUCGACCAUACUGUCACCGCUAAACCAACCUUGCAAUGAGUUUUCGAUUUCUACUUCCUCAGUCGCAUAUCUCCUCCUCGAUUUCUUCUCUGCUGCUGCUCGAUUUCAUCUGCAAAAUUGAAGAACUUGGAUUCCUUAUGCCUACAGAGAUACAAAGAUAAGCUCUACCAAUUCUAUUCUCUGGCCAAGAUUGCAUUCUCCAUGCCCAGACAGGUUCAGGGAAAACUUUGGCAUACUUGUUAUAGAUUUUUUCAGUAAUAAACACAUAAACAUCAGCUCUACAAGCAUUGAUUGUGGUUCCAACUAGGGAAUUGGGCAUCUUUUUCCUCCUUCCGAGUCAUCUUUUUCCUAUUUUGCCCUUUAUAUUGCUUUGGUGUUGAUGGUGCUGUCAAAACACAAUGACUUUCCUUUGGUUCCAUUAUUUAGUCAUCACCUGGAAAUACAGGUUGUUGCAACAAGUUGUAUUGUAGGACUAAACAAUCGGACGAUAUCAAUGUUAACGUGGGAUUGUGAGGAAAAGGCAAGGCUGUGGUUGUAAGCAUUGAUCCUUGUAGACAAUAUUUGACAAAUAAAGAUGAGGUUGGAUUCAAGGCUAUUAAACUAGAAAACCUGGGCCCAAAUGAUGAAGACUAUGCCUUGUAUCAGUGCAAUGUAAGUGUUGUAAAUAGCAACGUAUUUUUCAGUUUGACCAAAUUUUUUAUUUUGUUGUAUAGAUGAUGCUUAUUGUAAUAUUUAUUUUUGGAAAAUGAUGUUUUUGUAAUGUGUUAAGCACUUAGUAAUGUAUUUGACAUUUUGUAGUUUAAUGUAAUGAAUUUUUAUUUCA